This 728-nucleotide ribosomal RNA is filed under the name Priestia megaterium. Its description in RNAcentral is "bacterial SSU rRNA". It matches the Rfam family "Bacterial small subunit ribosomal RNA", at positions 48 to 757 of the family's 1533-position model. Lineage: Bacteria; Bacillati; Bacillota; Bacilli; Caryophanales; Bacillaceae. The record is from RNAcentral.
CUAAUACAUGCAAGUCGAGCGAACUGAUUAGAAGCUUGCUUCUAUGACGUUAGCGGCGGACGGGUGAGUAACACGUGGGCAACCUGCCUGUAAGACUGGGAUAACUUCGGGAAACCGAAGCUAAUACCGGAUAGGAUCUUCUCCUUCAUGGGAGAUGAUUGAAAGAUGGUUUCGGCUAUCACUUACAGAUGGGCCCGCGGUGCAUUAGCUAGUUGGUGAGGUAACGGCUCACCAAGGCAACGAUGCAUAGCCGACCUGAGAGGGUGAUCGGCCACACUGGGACUGAGACACGGCCCAGACUCCUACGGGAGGCAGCAGUAGGGAAUCUUCCGCAAUGGACGAAAGUCUGACGGAGCAACGCCGCGUGAGUGAUGAAGGCUUUCGGGUCGUAAAACUCUGUUGUUAGGGAAGAACAAGUACAAGAGUAACUGCUCGUACCUUGACGGUACCUAACCAGAAAGCCACGGCUAACUACGUGCCAGCAGCCGCGGUAAUACGUAGGUGGCAAGCGUUAUCCGGAAUUAUUGGGCGUAAAGCGCGCGCAGGCGGUUUCUUAAGUCUGAUGUGAAAGCCCACGGCUCAACCGUGGAGGGUCAUUGGAAACUGGGGAACUUGAGUGCAGAAGAGAAAAGCGGAAUUCCACGUGUAGCGGUGAAAUGCGUAGAGAUGUGGAGGAACACCAGUGGCGAAGGCGGCUUUUUGGUCUGUAACUGACGCUGAGGCGCGAA